Xyrichtys novacula (pearly razorfish) is the source of this 1268-nucleotide non-coding RNA. NCBI's taxonomy places the organism in Eukaryota, Metazoa, Chordata, Actinopteri, Labriformes, Labridae. The record is from the annotation of a GenBank genome assembly.
ACACAAACAGAAACAUGGAGUCACCGUCAGGAGUGAAUUCAUCCUGGUUCUAUCCAUCCAUAGGAAGACAAGCCGCCGUAUCAUUCACACAGCAGCCACUUAGGCUCAAGGUUGGAAUUCACUUACACUAAUACACUCAGACAUAUGCAUGCAUGCACAAUGCACAACCAAUUCCAACUCAUCACACAAUUCAUAACCUUAAUUAGCUGAAAAGAUUUCCCUACCCUCAUUUUUUAUAUUGUGUUAGGAGAUAUUUACAUGGAAACAUAUCUAGUUAAAAAUAAUGAACUGUAACAUGGUGACAACAUCCAGACAGCUGAAAAUACAAGCUUUUAAAAGCAGGCUCUAGGGUUGAAUCUCUUGAAUACGCCAUCCCUUCUCUAGCCAUUUAAACUGGCAGUAUGAAAAUCUUUGAAUACUGUGAAUUUACUGCCUAAACAUAUUACAUUUCCAGUUGAAUCAAAUUUACUUCAGUGCUCGAUUGAAGAAUGGCUCUCAGUCAUGCACAAAGAUUGUUUUUCAUAAUGUCAGGAACACAGAUUAUCUUAAAACACAAAGGAAAGGCGUUUUAAUGUAGCGCUGUAUGAACAUAGUCUUGGUUGUGUAAACAGAGAAGUUGGACAACUAUAAUCAUUUUAGGACUUUGGACUUGAGCGACAUUACAAACAAAUGAUGGAGAAAAAUUAGAAAUUUGAUAACUAGCCAUCAUCAUGUAGUAUUCGGCAAAUAUUAGCGUUAAGACACUUCCUUGCCUUCAAUUGUGUUUAAGAAGAUGCCAGAUACCUCUGGCAGAGCAAGAAGCCGGCCGGCAUAAGAUCCUACCCAACGUCAAAUAGGAUCCACCAUGUUGGAUUGCUAGUGUGGCAGUAAACGCCAGCUCUGCUAGCGAGCACCGUCUGCAGCUGCCUGGACAGCCACCAUGUUGACGUUGCAGAGACUAAUAAGAGUUAUUUAUGUAACAUGUGCCAGGAUAAAAGGUAAAAAUUACCUGUUCAACAAAAACUCUGUUGGUGUCUGAUUUCAGACCCAAAUCCCGGCAGAGCUUUCUCCUCUGCUUGAAGGAUGACCCGAUGUUUAUUUAAGUUAGAGUCCUCGCUUGGUCACAUUUCCUCUUCGACUCUGCCCUUUCUCUGAAGAAGCAGAAGUUGUUUUUUUUUUCUUUUGUUGCGUUCUUCUCCAUCACAGCUUCUGUAGCUAAGCUGCUACGCUAGCCGCUCAGAGCUUCGAGGAGAGCCGGGGGAGUGUGAGGGGAUGAGUCGGAACUACGG